RNAcentral lists this ribosomal RNA (460 nucleotides) under uncultured bacterium. Its description in RNAcentral is "partial 16S ribosomal RNA". It matches the Rfam family "Bacterial small subunit ribosomal RNA", at positions 338 to 795 of the family's 1533-position model. The record is from RNAcentral.
CCUACGGGGGGCAGCAGUGAGGAAUAUUGGUCAAUGGCCGGAAGGCUGAACCAGCCAUGCCGCGUGAAGGUCAGUGCCCUAUGGGCGUUAAACUUCUUUUGUGCGGGAGCAAUAAUGGUCACGUGUGGCCAGACGAGAGUACCGUACGAAUAAGCAUCGGCUAACUCCGUGCCAGCAGCCGCGGUAAUACGGGGGGUGCAAGCGUUAUCCGGCGUUGUUGGGUUUAAAGGGUGCGUAGGCUGUGAGGUAAGUCAGCGGUGAAAUGCCCCCGCUCAACGGGGUGAAGUGCCAUUGAUACUGCCUUGCUUGAAUGCGGAUGCCGUGGGAGGAAUGUGUGGUGUAGCGGUGAAAUGCAUAGAUAUCACACAGAACACCGAUUGCGAAGGCAUCUCACGAAUCCGCGAUUGACGCUGAUGCACGAAAGCGUGGGUAUCAAACAGGAUUAGAUACCCGAGUAGUC